UGGCUCAGAGGUUAAAGCAUCUGCCUGCAAUGCAGGAGACCCGGGUUCGAUCCCUGG
RNAcentral lists this transfer RNA (57 nucleotides) under Bos taurus (domestic cattle). It matches the Rfam family "tRNA", at positions 8 to 63 of the family's 71-position model. Rfam says of the family: Transfer RNA (tRNA) molecules are approximately 80 nucleotides in length. Their secondary structure includes four short double-helical elements and three loops (D, anti-codon, and T loops). RNAcentral also lists the same sequence under 7 other names. The record is from Rfam by way of RNAcentral. Lineage: Eukaryota; Metazoa; Chordata; Mammalia; Artiodactyla; Bovidae.